Molecule: unclassified non-coding RNA, 2481 nt
Filed under: Metarhizium pingshaense
Lineage: Eukaryota; Fungi; Ascomycota; Sordariomycetes; Hypocreales; Clavicipitaceae
Description: Metarhizium pinghaense miscellaneous RNA
Source: RNAcentral
CCCCAAUAUCAGCGCAUCCCGUUUCGCGGGGCGGGUGUUGGGGUUAAAGCCACCAAAGUAGUGGUUGCAGGCUUGAGGAGAGCCGCCGAGCGGUGGUUGGUUCUAGAGGGGAAAAUCUGCCAAGUUCAAAGGUCAGGCAAGCGAAAGGUUUACCGAGUCGGAAGGUUGGGCGAGUAAAAAAUUUACCAAGUCCAAAAUACUGCCGGCAACAUACCCGGGACUCCGAGUAAGUCGGGGAAGAAGUUGGCGGAUUUUUUCCCAACCAACUCAACUUUUGACCAAUUUACCUGCCCGAGCUCACGGGUAGGCUGCGGUUUAUUUUUGGACUUUGUAGAUUUGCUUGAAUCAAUUUACAGGAAGUUGCCUGCCGAAUUACCUGGGCUCCCGGGUAGGCUAUAGUUAACUUUUGGACUUUCGACUAUAACCUGGGAUUUUCCCAACUAUAGCUCACGGGUAGGUUAGUUGUGAUUUUUGGACGGUGAAAUUUCUACUUUCCUGCCAAGUCUAGCCUACCCGGGAGCCCAGGCAAGUCGGGCAGGUAAAUUCCGCCAACUCGGCAGGAAACUAAUUGCAAAUCAAUUCAAGCAAAUAUGCCAAGUCCACAAAUCAAUCGCAGCCUACCCGGUAAGUAUAAGUUGAUUUUUUUUUAUAUAUAUAAAUAAAUUCUGCGGAAAAUAAAAAAUAAGCUAUAAAGGCCUGGUAGCGGAGGCGAGCUCUUAAGGUAGUGGGUGGGUAUAUAAGAGGGAGGGCUGGACACGCGUUGCGCCGCGUAUUUCCACCGCACCCAAUACUUUUAGCUUUAGGGUAGGCUGCUUGUUUAGAGGCGUGCUGAAUUAAAUGGUCUCUCAAGUGAGGGGAUUUCUCUGCUGGCAGUUGCUUGUGAUCCGGGAGUCCGUGGCGGUAAAGUCAACUGUAAGGCUUGUGUGUGUGCCGGGGCCCUGUAGGUCCCGACCAGGAACCCUACAGGCCACGUGCCGAUAUAAUAAGAUAGAUAAGGUAUACGGCACGUGCUAAUACACGUGCCAAUACAAGUAACGAUAAGAUCAACAAGAUACCUGCACGUGCCUAGUCACGGAGACUUACACGUGUCCCGCUGCCAAGAUCCCCGAGGUUGCCGACCUCGCCGACUACUCCUGGUGUAAUGUGCCGGUGUAGUUAUAUAUAAUUUCUUACUAGUCUCAAUAAUAGUACACUCGUUUAUCGCGAUGCACUCACUUGUGGUGCGGGUGUGCGGGUGUGCUGACGUACUUGUGGUGGUGCACUUACUCUACAAUAGUGCUGGUACUUGCGGUCAUAUACAAGUUCCUAGUAUUUUGGCGUAGUUGUGGCCGUGGUCGUGCAGUUACAGCAGUGUACUUACCCUGUAGUACUGCUGGCACCGGCCACCGUCGCGUGCACGCGGCUGCCGUCGGCCGUGGUAGAGGGUUACCCGGGACCACGGUGCAUUUUUCCGUUUUUUCCAUUUUUUCAAAAUCGACGACCAAAAAGUUGGUAGGUCUGGGUUGCCUUGCUGGCCAAUAGAGAUUUGUAUGGCGCUACUAUAGGGUAGGUAUAGGGUAGGCUGUACCGGUACUUGCGGUCGCACACAAAUCCCUAGCAGCCUGGAGUACCCCCGCGCGCGGGCAACUUCAAGCCGCUAGAGCUGCUCCCAGCGGCAUCGCGCACAGCUAUGAGGGCCACCAUUCGAUUCGUCUCGCCGAGCUGCAUCGAUUGAGCCCGGGUUGCCAAAAAGUCGGGUGUUUUGGUAUUUGAUUUGUAUGGGCGUGAGUCGAUUUUUUUGUUUUCCCAUACAAAUGAAUUUUGCGGAAAAUAAAAAAUGGACCACGAGCGCCCGGUGGCGGAGGUGGACCCUCGAGGUGGUCGGUGGGUAUAUGAGAAGGGGGCGUCGAAAGAUGCCGGGACAGCUGGGUCUUCGCUGAAAGGCAGGAUUUCCGGUGAGUCACCGCCCUCUCUGUACCAUAUCUUGCCGAGCCCCAGUGCUUGAGUGGCCUCCUGAACACGCCUGUAGAAGGUCUCUUUUACAGGCCGGGAGGUCACACUGGGGAUUCAAACUCCACGAAGUCGGCGGCUACGGCCGUGCGGCGUACUGGUUAUACCUCGUGGCAGUGGGAGGCACCCGCCUCUUACCGCUCAGGAGAUGGGUUCUGUGGGCUGCUGGCCGCUGGCCAACAUGCCGUAAAUCAGAAUAACGGGAGGCAACCACGGGUAGCUGACGCCGAAAUGGCAGAGGCUGCACGGAGCGUCCUCCUCUUAGGGCACCUAUACCGCACUUUACGGUGCGUGUGGACGGCUGCGCCUAGGGAAUUGAGAGGGGGAAAGCGGAUUUGCCGCUGGGCGGUCUCUCCCGGUCAAACGGGCAGGGCACCUCCCGGCGCGCAGCACCCUUUCGAGUGGGGGAAAGGUGUGCCGACCAGUAACUUGGACUAUUCUCUCCGGCGCCCUCAACAGGGCGUCGGUAGGCCAACCCCGGCGAACGAUAGU